RNAcentral lists this ribosomal RNA (404 nucleotides) under Actinomycetes bacterium. RNAcentral describes it as "Actinobacteria bacterium partial 16S ribosomal RNA". It matches the Rfam family "Bacterial small subunit ribosomal RNA", at positions 355 to 776 of the family's 1533-position model. Lineage: Bacteria; Bacillati; Actinomycetota; Actinomycetes. The record is from RNAcentral.
UGGGGAAUCUUGGACAAUGGGCGCAAGCCUGAUCCAGCCAUGCCGCGUGAGUGAUGAAGGCCCUAGGGUUGUAAAGCUCUUUCACCGGUGAAGAUAAUGACGGUAACCGGAGAAGAAGCCCCGGCUAACUUCGUGCCAGCAGCCGCGGUAAUACGAAGGGGGCUAGCGUUGUUCGGAUUUACUGGGCGUAAAGCGCACGUAGGCGGACUUUUAAGUCAGGGGUGAAAUCCCGGGGCUCAACCCCGGAACUGCCUUUGAUACUGGAAGUCUUGAGUAUGGUAGAGGUGAGUGGAAUUCCGAGUGUAGAGGUGAAAUUCGUAGAUAUUCGGAGGAACACCAGUGGCGAAGGCGGCUCACUGGACCAUUACUGACGCUGAGGUGCGAAAGCGUGGGGAGCAAACAGG